RNAcentral lists this ribosomal RNA (394 nucleotides) under uncultured bacterium. RNAcentral describes it as "partial 16S ribosomal RNA". It matches the Rfam family "Bacterial small subunit ribosomal RNA", at positions 523 to 919 of the family's 1533-position model. The record is from RNAcentral.
AUACGGAGGAUGCGAGCGUUAUCCGGAUUUAUUGGGUUUAAAGGGAGCGUAGGUGGGAUAUUAAGUCAGCUGUGAAAGUUUGGGGCUCAACCUUAAAAUUGCAGUUGAUACUGGUUUCCUUGAGUACGGUACAGGUGGGCGGAAUUCGUGGUGUAGCGGUGAAAUGCUUAGAUAUCACGAAGAACUCCGAUCGCGAAGGCAGCGCACCGGGCCGGAACUGACACUGAUGCUCGAAAGUGCGGGUAUCAAACAGGAUUAGAUACCCUGGUAGUCCGCACAGUAAACGAUGAAUACUCGCUGUUUGCGAUACACUGUAAGCGGCCAAGCGAAAGCGUUAAGUAUUCCACCUGGGGAGUACGCCGGCAACGGUGAAACUCAAAGGAAUUGACGGGGG